This 253-nucleotide ribosomal RNA is filed under the name uncultured bacterium. RNAcentral describes it as "partial 16S ribosomal RNA". It matches the Rfam family "Bacterial small subunit ribosomal RNA", at positions 524 to 776 of the family's 1533-position model. The record is from RNAcentral.
UACGUAGGGACCAAGCGUUGUUCGGAUUUACUGGGCGUAAAGGGCGCGUAGGCGGCAUGACAAGUCACUUGUGAAAUCUCCGGGCUUAACUCGGAACGGUCAAGUGAUACUGUCGCGCUAGAGUGCGGAAGGGGCAAUCAGAAUUCUUGGUGUAGCGGUGAAAUGCGUAGAUAUCAAGAGGAAUACCUGAGGUGAAGACGGGUUGCUAGGCUGACACUGACGCUGAGGCGCGAAGGCGUGGGGAGCGAACGGG